This 253-nucleotide ribosomal RNA is filed under the name uncultured bacterium. RNAcentral describes it as "partial 16S ribosomal RNA". It matches the Rfam family "Bacterial small subunit ribosomal RNA", at positions 524 to 776 of the family's 1533-position model. The record is from RNAcentral.
UACGGAGGGUGCAAGCGUUGUCCGGAAUUAUUGGGCGUAAAGAGCUCGUAGGCGGUUUGUCGCGUCUGCUGUGAAAACUCGGGGCUUAACUCCGGGCCUGCAGUGGGUACGGGCAGACUAGAGUGCGGUAGGGGAGACUGGAAUUCCUGGUGUAGCGGUGAAAUGCGCAGAUAUCAGGAGGAACACCGGUGGCGAAGGCAGCUCGCUGGGACGUUACUGACGCUGAGACGCGAAAGCGUGGGGAGCAAACAGG